This 468-nucleotide ribosomal RNA is filed under the name uncultured bacterium. RNAcentral describes it as "partial 16S ribosomal RNA". It matches the Rfam family "Bacterial small subunit ribosomal RNA", at positions 28 to 507 of the family's 1533-position model. The record is from RNAcentral.
GACGAACGCUGGCGGCGUGCUUAACACAUGCAAGUCGAACGGAAAGGCCCUGCUUUUGUGGGGUGCUCGAGUGGCGAACGGGUGAGUAACACGUGAGUAACCUGCCCUUGACUUUGGGAUAACUUCAGGAAACUGGGGCUAAUACCGGAUAGGAGCUCCUGCUGCAUGGUGGGGGUUGGAAAGUUUCGGCGGUUGGGGAUGGACUCGCGGCUUAUCAGCUUGUUGGUGGGGUAGUGGCUUACCAAGGCUUUGACGGGUAGCCGGCCUGAGAGGGUGACCGGCCACAUUGGGACUGAGAUACGGCCCGGACUCCUACGGGAGGAAGAAGUGGGGAAUAUUGCACAAUGGGCGGAAGCCUGAUGCAGCAACGCCGCGUGCGGGAUGACGGCCUUCGGGUUGUAAACCGCUUUCGCCUGUGACGAAGCGUGAGUGACGGUAAUGGGUAAAGAAGCACCGGCUAACUACGUG